CAGUGCUAAUGUGAAAGUUUUAAUUGGGAAAUCCUGUGCAUGUUAAAUUAAUCUUAAGUACUUUUAUCUAGAAUGCCUGCUUCCUUUCCAUGGCACUUUGUUUUUUUAACCACCUCACAUUCUUUUACAUCACAUUAAAAAACUUGAAAUAGGCCGACAAUGCUUUUUACAUUAGACUUGGUUGAAGGCGAUUUGCAAAGCUGGUUUCUGAAGCCUCUGAAAUGCUCAACUAGAGGGGUUCCUACAUGCAGUGUGAGCUGAACGGUGCCAGUGCUAUUGUGUAUUGGCAGACAGUUUCUAUCUGUGGAGAGAUUGCAGGGCAAAGGUUUCAUCCUAUCCACAGCUUAUGUUUCAUGGAUAAGUGUGUUAUGCAUUAGGAAAUUCUGAGAACAACUGGGAUUUGCAGUUUGAAAGAAAAGUGGUUGGUAACUCAGCUAAACAUUUAGGCUGAGAUUUUCAAAGUGGCCCUGGGGAUUUUAGAGACUAGAAUCUCAGGCUGCUGAUAAAAUCCUCAGCCCUUAGGCCUAUUUUCUUUUCUUUCUAGUGCUUGUACUAUAGUUUUUAAUUUGACCAUAUCACACACACAGAUGUCUUGGUAUCUGAUAGAAGAGGGCAGGAAAGGAAAAAGUUGCCGCUCUGCCAAGAUAUUAAUUAUAUUCCAAUUAUUACCUUAUAUGCACAGUGCAGGUUUUGUCUGCUUACUUUUCUAGUUGCCGUUGCUUUUAAAGUCUUGAUCUUCCUCAGGGGCACUGUGUGUACCAUUUGGCUGUCCUUUUGUCCUCUUUCCAGAGAACAUUUUUUUUUAGAGAGAGUACUUUGGACAUAGCACUGUUGUGAAUACCUUUUCCAUAUUUACCAGGCUGGCUGAACUCAAACAGAAGAGUUCUUUCACUUGUACUACAUUGCCUAGUGCUGAGAUUCCUGAAAGGGAGUAGUCUGCAAAGUGGUUAAAGAGGUAUAUAUUGGAGGGACCAUAUGCCAAUGACUGACAUCAGUACGGAAGUUUCUACGUGGCUUGUUACUGUGCUCCCAGGUAUGGAACUCAACUCUACUGGAUAUGUGACAAAGCAGUGUUUUAUUAGGAUCAAAGGAAGGGUGAAUUCGUUGGAUUCAUAUGUUGCUCCUCAGUGAAGAAGAAAGUAAACGUUUCCAAGGGGAUAUUUUGACUGAGUUAGAGGUAAGUAAAAAUUAAGUAACUGUCCCAAAUUCACAGAGAACUUUGUAUUUCCCCAGGAAGGAGGUGUUUCAUCAUAAUAAUCCAGUCUCUUGAUGCAUAAAGUUAGAGCGAUUAGAUACACUACGCUAAGUACAAAACUAUAAUAGCCUCUGUGAUGCUCACUGAACUAUUAUGGCUGGUAUACUGCAGCAGCAACUUAAAUAUUAUCAGAGAAAGGAUUUUUUGUACAACUUGUCACAGCUAAAAUAUUAAAGUUCUUGGUUUUUACAUAAAAACUAAUUUUAAAAAUUUACUCAUCAUUCCUGUGCAUUUCUUUUUUAAGCAUAUGUUUCAUUAAAUUCAUGAGUGAUGAUUACCACUCAGUCAAAAUGAAGCUUUUCAUAAUGAAAUGCAUGGAAUUGUAUUUUUAACACCCAUAUUGCUUGAUUUGGUAUCUGACAUGAGGCACAUUUAAAAAUACCUAUAUAGAAUGCAAUAUAUUUAGCACAAAUGUUGUCAUUAGUGUUAUAGACUGUAAUAGCCCUAAUAACUGGUAUUUUAGAUUAGCAGAAAAAAAUAUAAUAGCAACUGGGUUAUAACAGUUAACAAUUUUGAUAAACUGUCUGCUUUAGGUAAAAAUCUGGUAAUACUACCAUUCAAAGUACUGUUGAGUAUUAAGUGUAGCCACAUAUGCAUCCCUUUAGGAGUCUUCAGUAGUACAACAAUACACUAUGGAAUAAUAAUGAAAAAAUAAUGUCAUUUCAAAAAAUGAUGUUGAUAAUAUUCAUUCAUUACUGUUCAAACUUUUCUGGGUAUUAGAGAAGUGAAUUAACUAUAAGUGCUUGUUUCAAACCAGAUUUCACACUGGAAAUAAGAAAAGACAUUUGCCUUCCAGGUACUUACCGAUUCCAUUAGACAUGAUGGAUUUUUUGUAUUAUAGAGAUUCUUAGAAGAUGAAAAAUACUGAUUGCCUCCCUUCUCUAAUACAGCAAUAGUUCAUGUCUUGGAACUAGUUUUAUUGUCAAAGUGAAUAAUAUUUUAAUAUGUUUAGAGAUGGCCUCAUUCUUCUUGAUGGAAAAAUGAAAUGACUUUUGACAUUAGAGUGUUUUGUUAUCUGUUACUUCAGUAGCAUUAAUAUAAAAAAAAAAAAAAAAAUUGAUGGUGUGUUUCAGGUGUGAUUUCUGGAAAUAAAAUGCGAAAGAAAAAAUGUCCUUAACA
Molecule: long non-coding RNA, 2374 nt
Filed under: Anas platyrhynchos platyrhynchos (common mallard)
Lineage: Eukaryota; Metazoa; Chordata; Aves; Anseriformes; Anatidae
Description: lncRNA (ENSAPLG00000030028.1)
Source: RNAcentral